RNAcentral lists this long non-coding RNA (897 nucleotides) under Erythranthe guttata (spotted monkey flower). RNAcentral's name for it is "long non-coding RNA (EGUT_LNC001067)". The stretch from base 758 to 897 matches the Rfam family "U1 spliceosomal RNA", at positions 1 to 145 of the family's 166-position model. Lineage: Eukaryota; Viridiplantae; Streptophyta; Magnoliopsida; Lamiales; Phrymaceae. The record is from RNAcentral.
AAGGAUAUGCCAAUUUACAAGUACUUCAUCUAUAUAUAUAUAUGCGCAACGACACAUUUCUCAACUCACAACCAACUUUCGAUAUUUCAAUUGCUUCACAAAACUCUCAUAUACAUUCUUUCAUAUUCAUCUUCAACGUCACCAAGAUUUACUUCAACAAAAAGUCAAUGGCUAUUCACAAAAUUCUUAGACGAUCUUUAUCAUCUGAAAAUAGAUCAAAUGAAGUUCCAAAAGGGCAUUUAGCAGUGUAUGUCGGAGAAAGUGAAAAGAAGCGCUUCGUUAUUCCAUUAUCAUACUUGAAUCACCCUUCGUUUCAAUAAUUGCUAUGCCAAGUUGAAGAAGAGUUUGGGUUCCACCAUCCGAUGGGUGGCCUUUCUAUUCCUUGUAGUGAAGAGUCAUUCAUCGAUCUCACCUUUCACAUGAGCAGAACAUGAUAUACAUAUACAUAUAUAUAUAUAUACACUAGGUCUUAGAGAAAUAGAACUUGUGACAAACUAUUUUUUGUUUUUCUCUUUUUGAUCUGUACACACAGAUUUACGUUGUCGGGUACAAAAUGUAUUCCUGGACAAGUUAAUGGUAUUGCCUAACAAAAGUGUUAUUUAUACACUCAGCUAUGUUUUAUAUGUGAAUGCCUAAUCUACUUGCAAAAAAGUUAUGAAUACUUCACAAGUGGUUUACAAUUUAUCCCACAUCGAUGUAUUAAACUGCAGAUAGUGAGAUAAGAAUUAUAUAAAAAGGAAAAAUGUGCUUGGUAAACUUACUUACCUGGACGGGGUUGAUAGACGAUCAAGAAGGUCUAUAGCCUAUGCUUGUUACCUCCAUUGCACUUUGGAGGGGCGCUUGUGUAAGGUCGGCCCAAGUGGCCGAGCCUGCGUCAUAAUUUGUGUCAGAGGGGGC